UACGGGGGGGGAAAGCGUUGUUCGGAAUUACUGGGCGUAAAGGGCUCGUAGGCGGCCAACUAAGUCGGAUGUGAAAUCCCCAGGCUUAACCUGGGAACUGCAUCCGAUACUGGAUGGCUUGAAUCCGGGAGAGGGAUGCAGAAUUCCAGGUGUAGCGGUGAAAUGCGUAGAUAUCUGGAGGAAUACCGGUGGCGAAGGCGGCAUCCUGGACCGGCAUUGACGCUGAUGAGCGAAAGCUAGGGGAGCAAACGGG
RNAcentral lists this ribosomal RNA (253 nucleotides) under uncultured bacterium. Its description in RNAcentral is "partial 16S ribosomal RNA". It matches the Rfam family "Bacterial small subunit ribosomal RNA", at positions 524 to 776 of the family's 1533-position model. The record is from RNAcentral.